This 253-nucleotide ribosomal RNA is filed under the name uncultured bacterium. Its description in RNAcentral is "partial 16S ribosomal RNA". It matches the Rfam family "Bacterial small subunit ribosomal RNA", at positions 524 to 776 of the family's 1533-position model. The record is from RNAcentral.
UACGUAGGGUGCAGGCGUUAAUCGGAAUUACUGGGCGUAAAGCGCGUGUAGGCGGCUUGGCAAGUCGGAUGUGAAAGCCCACGGCUCAACCGUGGAAGCGCAUCCGAAACUGCUUCGCUUGAGUCUCGGAGAGGAAGGUGGAAUGCUUGGUGUAGAGGUGAAAUUCGUAGAUAUCAAGCAGAACACCUGCGGCGAAGGCGGCCUUCUGGACGAUGACUGACGCUGAGACGCGAAAGCGUGGGGAGCAAACAGG